Molecule: ribosomal RNA, 1702 nt
Filed under: Escherichia coli
Lineage: Bacteria; Pseudomonadati; Pseudomonadota; Gammaproteobacteria; Enterobacterales; Enterobacteriaceae
Description: partial 23S ribosomal RNA
Rfam family: Bacterial large subunit ribosomal RNA
Source: RNAcentral
GUUAAGCGACUAAGCGUACACGGUGGAUGCCCUGGCAGUCAGAGGCGAUGAAGGACGUGCUAAUCUGCGAUAAGCGUCGGUAAGGUGAUAUGAACCGUUAUAACCGGCGAUUUCCGAAUGGGGAAACCCAGUGUGUUUCGACACACUAUCAUUAACUGAAUCCAUAGGUUAAUGAGGCGAACCGGGGGAACUGAAACAUCUAAGUACCCCGAGGAAAAGAAAUCAACCGAGAUUCCCCCAGUAGCGGCGAGCGAACGGGGAGCAGCCCAGAGCCUGAAUCAGUGUGUGUGUUAGUGGAAGCGUCUGGAAAGGCGCGCGAUACAGGGUGACAGCCCCGUACACAAAAAUGCACAUGCUGUGAGCUCGAUGAGUAGGGCGGGACACGUGGUAUCCUGUCUGAAUAUGGGGGGACCAUCCUCCAAGGCUAAAUACUCCUGACUGACCGAUAGUGAACCAGUACCGUGAGGGAAAGGCGAAAAGAACCCCGGCGAGGGGAGUGAAAAAGAACCUGAAACCGUGUACGUACAAGCAGUGGGAGCACGCUUAGGCGUGUGACUGCGUACCUUUUGUAUAAUGGGUCAGCGACUUAUAUUCUGUAGCAAGGUUAACCGAAUAGGGGAGCCGAAGGGAAACCGAGUCUUAACUGGGCGUUAAGUUGCAGGGUAUAGACCCGAAACCCGGUGAUCUAGCCAUGGGCAGGUUGAAGGUUGGGUAACACUAACUGGAGGACCGAACCGACUAAUGUUGAAAAAUUAGCGGAUGACUUGUGGCUGGGGGUGAAAGGCCAAUCAAACCGGGAGAUAGCUGGUUCUCCCCGAAAGCUAUUUAGGUAGCGCCUCGUGAAUUCAUCUCCGGGGGUAGAGCACUGUUUCGGCAAGGGGGUCAUCCCGACUUACCAACCCGAUGCAAACUGCGAAUACCGGAGAAUGUUAUCACGGGAGACACACGGCGGGUGCUAACGUCCGUCGUGAAGAGGGAAACAACCCAGACCGCCAGCUAAGGUCCCAAAGUCAUGGUUAAGUGGGAAACGAUGUGGGAAGGCCCAGACAGCCAGGAUGUUGGCUUAGAAGCAGCCAUCAUUUAAAGAAAGCGUAAUAGCUCACUGGUCGAGUCGGCCUGCGCGGAAGAUGUAACGGGGCUAAACCAUGCACCGAAGCUGCGGCAGCGACGCUGAUGCGUUGUUGGGUAGGGGAGCGUUCUGUAAGCCUGCGAAGGUGUGCUGUGAGGCAUGCUGGAGGUAUCAGAAGUGCGAAUGCUGACAUAAGUAACGAUAAAGCGGGUGAAAAGCCCGCUCGCCGGAAGACCAAGGGUUCCUGUCCAACGUUAAUCGGGGCAGGGUGAGUCGACCCCUAAGGCGAGGCCGAAAGGCGUAGUCGAUGGGAAACAGGUUAAUAUUCCUGUACUUGGUGUUACUGCGAAGGGGGGACGGAGAAGGCUAUGUUGGCCGGGCGACGGUUGUCCCGGUUUAAGCGUGUAGGCUGGUUUUCCAGGCAAAUCCGGAAAAUCAAGGCUGAGGCGUGAUGACGAGGCACUACGGUGCUGAAGCAACAAAUGCCCUGCUUCCAGGAAAAGCCUCUAAGCAUCAGGUAACAUCAAAUCGUACCCCAAACCGACACAGGUGGUCAGGUAGAGAAUACCAAGGCGCUUGAGAGAACUCGGGUGAAGGAACUAGGCAAAAUGGUGCCGUAACUUCGGGAGAAGG